This 73-nucleotide transfer RNA is filed under the name Phenacogrammus interruptus (Congo tetra). RNAcentral's name for it is "tRNA-Leu". It matches the Rfam family "tRNA". From Rfam's summary of the family: Transfer RNA (tRNA) molecules are approximately 80 nucleotides in length. Their secondary structure includes four short double-helical elements and three loops (D, anti-codon, and T loops). Further hydrogen bonds mediate the characteristic L-shaped molecular structure. tRNAs have two regions of fundamental functional importance: the anti-codon, which is responsible for specific mRNA codon recognition, and the 3' end, to which the tRNAs corresponding amino acid is attached (by aminoacyl-tRNA synthetases). tRNAs cope with the degeneracy of the genetic code in two manners: having more than one tRNA (with a specific anti-codon) for a particular amino acid; and 'wobble' base-pairing, i.e. permitting non-standard base-pairing at the 3rd anti-codon position. Lineage: Eukaryota; Metazoa; Chordata; Actinopteri; Characiformes; Alestidae. The record is from RNAcentral.
GCUAUGAAAGGAUAACAGCUCAUCCAUUGGUCUUAGGAACCAAAAACUCUUGGUGCAAGUCCAAGUCACAGCU